CUUCGGCACUUUGAGAUGGGCGUGCGGCUGAUUAGGUAGUUGGUAGGUAACGGCCUACCAAGCCGACGAUCAGUAGCUGAUGUGAGAGCAUGAUCAGCCACACGGGCACUGAGACACGGGCCCGACUCCUACGGGAGGCAGCAGUGAGGAAUAUUGGUCAAUGGAGGAAACUCUGAACCAGCCAUGCCGCGUGGAGGAUGAAGGUCCUCUGGAUUGUAAACUCCUUUUAUAAAAGAAGAAACCCCAUUUUUCUAAAUGGGUUGACGGUACUUUAUGAAUAAGCACCGGCUAACUCCGUG
This 299-nucleotide ribosomal RNA is filed under the name uncultured bacterium. RNAcentral's name for it is "partial 16S ribosomal RNA". It matches the Rfam family "Bacterial small subunit ribosomal RNA", at positions 210 to 507 of the family's 1533-position model. The record is from RNAcentral.